GACGAACCGAGCGAACGUUGUUCGGAAUAACUGGGCUUAAAGGGUGCGUAGGCGGCUUAUUAAGUCAGCGGUGAAAGACCAGGGCUCAACCCUGGAACUGCCAUUGAUACUGAUAAGCUUGAGUAAAGUUGAGGUAGGCGGAAUUGACGGUGUAGCGGUGAAAUGCUUAGAUAUCGUCAAGAACACCGAUUGCGUAGGCAGCUUACUAAGCUUUAACUGACGCUGAGGCACGAAAGUGUGGGGAUCAAACAGG
RNAcentral lists this ribosomal RNA (253 nucleotides) under uncultured bacterium. RNAcentral describes it as "partial 16S ribosomal RNA". It matches the Rfam family "Bacterial small subunit ribosomal RNA", at positions 524 to 776 of the family's 1533-position model. The record is from RNAcentral.